CACGUAGGAGGCGAGCGUUGUCCGGAAUCAUUGGACGUAAAGAGCGCGCAGGCGGCUUGGCAAGUCGGGUGUGAAAUCCCGGGGCUCAACCCCGUGACUGCAUUCGAUACUGUCAGGCUAGAGGUAGGUAGGGGAGAUCGGAAUUCCUGGUGUAGCGGUGAAAUGCGCAGAUAUCAGGAGGAACACCGGUGGCGAAGGCGGAUCUCUGGGCCUUACCUGACACUCAGGCGCGAAAGCUAGGGGAGCGAACAGG
This 253-nucleotide ribosomal RNA is filed under the name uncultured bacterium. RNAcentral describes it as "partial 16S ribosomal RNA". It matches the Rfam family "Bacterial small subunit ribosomal RNA", at positions 524 to 776 of the family's 1533-position model. The record is from RNAcentral.